CACUGGUGGCGACCGGCGCACGGGUGAGUAACACGUGUGCAACCAACCCCGUACCGGGAGAUAACCCGCGGAAACGUGGACUAACAUCCCAUGAUACUCGAGAGCCGCAUGGCUCUCGAUUUAAAAUUCCGGCGGUACGGGACGGGCACGCGCGACAUUAGGUAGUUGGCGGGGUAACGGCCCACCAAGCCGACGAUGUCUAGGGGUUCUGAGAGGAAGGUCCCCCACACUGGAACUGAGACACGGUCCAG
RNAcentral lists this ribosomal RNA (251 nucleotides) under uncultured bacterium. RNAcentral describes it as "partial 16S ribosomal RNA". It matches the Rfam family "Bacterial small subunit ribosomal RNA", at positions 83 to 334 of the family's 1533-position model. The record is from RNAcentral.